GCAGAUAUAUGUCGUUAAUGGGAAACUUUUAGUGUAAGUUUCUAUUCUUUGAUCAUUCAUGGUUGGAAGACUCAUUACAUAACUGAUUUUUCAUUCUUGUCCAAUAUUCAUUCAAUUUGCACCUACCAGUUUAUCCUGUGAGACAAUAUUCAUUUGGAAAUUUUGUGUGGCCUGUUUAAUAAUCAUUUUUUCCUCUUUUCCUACCAAAUUUUCAAAUAUGUUACUUAAGGAGAGUCCUUCCUCUAAAAUACCAUUUUUCUUUAGUCUAUCAAUUUUUCCUAGACUUUGUGGUUUAGAAGUUUCUUCAUUUUGUUUAUUUUCUCGUCUCAUUCAGGCACUUUGAGGCAGUUGAGGCUAGGUUUCUUCGUGCAUCAUUUUCUACUUUUGGAUUAGUUGACGUUUUUGUAACAAGAGAAUCUAUAGUGUUAGUUUUACAAUUAAAAUAUUAAAAUAUUGGAAAGCUGUAACAAAUUCUUCAAAGCUGUGAAUUAUAUUUUGAAAGAAUUAGCAAGGCUGACAUUGAGCAACA
RNAcentral lists this long non-coding RNA (529 nucleotides) under Citrus x clementina. Its description in RNAcentral is "Citrus clementina (C. clementina) long non-coding RNA (CCLE_LNC004033)". Lineage: Eukaryota; Viridiplantae; Streptophyta; Magnoliopsida; Sapindales; Rutaceae. The record is from RNAcentral.